GACGAACGCUGGCGGCGUGCCUAAUACAUGCAAGUCGAACGCUUUGAUUUUCACCGGAGCUUGCUCCACCGAAAAUCAAAGAGUGGCGGACGGGUGAGUAACACGUGGGCAACCUGCCCAACAGAGGGGGAUAACACUUGGAAGCAGGUGCUAAUACCGCAUAAUUUGUUUUUCCGCAUGGAAGAAUAAUAAAAGACGCUUCGGUGUCACUGUUGGAUGGGCCCGCGCUGCAUUAGUUAGUUGGUGGGGUAACGGCCUACCAAGACCAUGAUGCAUAGCCGACCUGAGAGGGUGAUCGGCCACACUGGGACUGAGACACGGCCCAGACUCCUACGGGAGGCAGCAGUAGGGAAUCUUCGGCAAUGGACGAAAGUCUGACCGAGCAACGCCGCGUGAGUGAGGAAGGUUUUCGGAUCGUAAAACUCUGUUGUUAGAGAAGAACAAGUGAGAGAGUUACUGUUCUCACCUUGACGGUAUCUAACCAGAAAGCCACGGCUAACUACGUGCCAGCAGCCGCGGUAAUACGUAGGUGGCAAGCGUUGUCCGGAUUUAUUGGGCGUAAAGCGAGCGCAGGCGGUUUCUUAAGUCUGAUGUGAAAGCCCUCGGCUCAACCGAGGAAGGUCAUUGGAAACUGGGGAACUUGAGUGCAGAAGAGGAGAGUGGAAUUCCAUGUGUAGCGGUGAAAUGCGUAGAUAUAUGGAGGAACACCAGUGGCGAAGGCGACUCUCUGGUCUGUAACUGACGCUGAGGCUCGAAAGCGUGGGGAGCAAACAGG
Molecule: ribosomal RNA, 775 nt
Filed under: uncultured bacterium
Lineage: Bacteria
Description: bacterial SSU rRNA
Rfam family: Bacterial small subunit ribosomal RNA
Source: RNAcentral